GAUGAACGCUGGCGGCGUGCCUAAUACAUGCAAGUCGAGCGAACAGACGAGGAGCUUGCUCCUCUGACGUUAGCGGCGGACGGGUGAGUAACACGUGGAUAACCUACCUAUAAGACUGGGAUAACUUCGGGAAACCGGAGCUAAUACCGGAUAAUAUAUUGAACCGCAUGGUUCAAUAGUGAAAGACGGUUUUGCUGUCACUUAUAGAUGGAUCCGCGCCGCAUUAGCUAGUUGGUAAGGUAACGGCUUACCAAGGCAACGAUGCGUAGCCGACCUGAGAGGGUGAGCGGACACACUGGAACUGAGACACGGUCCAGACUCCUACGGGAGGCAGCAGUAGGGAAUCUUCCGCAAGGGGCGAAAGCCUGACGGAGCAACGCCGCGUGAGUGAUGAAGGUCUUCGGAUCGUAAAACUCUGUUAUUAGGGAAGAACAAAUGUGUAAGUAACUAUGCACGUCUUGACGGUACCUAAUCAGAAAGCCACGGCUAACUACGUG
Molecule: ribosomal RNA, 497 nt
Filed under: uncultured bacterium
Lineage: Bacteria
Description: partial 16S ribosomal RNA
Rfam family: Bacterial small subunit ribosomal RNA
Source: RNAcentral